GCCGGGUGUGGUGGCGCACACCUGUAAUCCCAGUGGCUUGGGAGGCUGAGGCAGGAGGAUCGCAAGUUCAAAGCCAGUCCCAGCAACUUAGUGAGGCCCUGAGCAACUCAGUGAGAUCUUGCCUCUA
RNAcentral lists this small RNA (127 nucleotides) under Marmota monax (woodchuck). The record is from RNAcentral. Lineage: Eukaryota; Metazoa; Chordata; Mammalia; Rodentia; Sciuridae.